This 30-nucleotide non-coding RNA is filed under the name Homo sapiens (human). The record is from RNAcentral. Lineage: Eukaryota; Metazoa; Chordata; Mammalia; Primates; Hominidae.
UGGCACAACUGAGAAAAGCAAGCAGGCAGU